Molecule: long non-coding RNA, 317 nt
Filed under: Carica papaya (papaya)
Lineage: Eukaryota; Viridiplantae; Streptophyta; Magnoliopsida; Brassicales; Caricaceae
Description: long non-coding RNA (CPAP_LNC013205)
Source: RNAcentral
ACGAUCCCAAGACUCAUACAAUGAUUUUCUAUCUAAUUGUGUGAAUGUGGUGAUGUCAAUCGUCAACCUAGCUAUCUUUGAAAGGGGGAAGUACUUGGCUAGAAUGUGUUAAGCCAUGUCCUCCCAAGUAGUGAUGGAACCAACCUAUAAUGAAUUCAACCAAGAUUUAGCUCUAUCCUUCAAUGAGAAAGGGAAGAGCCUUAACCUGAUUGCAUCUUUGCUCACUCCAUUAUGCUUGAAAGUGUAGCAAAUUUUCAGAAAAUUAACAAAGUGCUCAUUAAAUCUUCAAUUGGGAACCCAAAAAAUUGUACACUCUG